CCGGUGGCUCAGUUGGUUAGAGCGCCGCCCUGUCACGGCGGAGGUCGACGGUUCGAAUCCGUUCCG
This 66-nucleotide transfer RNA is filed under the name Oribacterium sinus. It matches the Rfam family "tRNA", at positions 5 to 66 of the family's 71-position model. From Rfam's summary of the family: Transfer RNA (tRNA) molecules are approximately 80 nucleotides in length. Lineage: Bacteria; Bacillati; Bacillota; Clostridia; Lachnospirales; Lachnospiraceae. RNAcentral also lists the same sequence under 3 other names. The record is from RNAcentral.